RNAcentral lists this ribosomal RNA (490 nucleotides) under Sakaguchia oryzae. RNAcentral describes it as "partial large subunit ribosomal RNA". It matches the Rfam family "Eukaryotic large subunit ribosomal RNA", at positions 113 to 648 of the family's 3401-position model. The record is from RNAcentral. Lineage: Eukaryota; Fungi; Basidiomycota; Cystobasidiomycetes; Sakaguchiales; Sakaguchiaceae.
CUUUGAAAUCUGGCAGCUUCGCUGUCCGAGUUGUAGUCUCGAGAAGUGUUUUCCGCGCUGGACCAUGUAUGAGUCUGUUGGAAUACAGCGUCAUAGAGGGUGAGAACCCCGUUCAUGACAUGCCUUCCAGUGCUUUGUGAUACACUUUCGAUGAGUCGAGUUGUUUGGGAAUGCAGCUCAAAAUGGGUGGUAAAUUCCAUCUAAAGCUAAAUAUUGGGGAGAGACCGAUAGCAAACAAGUACCGUGAGGGAAAGAUGAAAAGCACUUUGGAAAGAGAGUUAACAGUACGUGAAAUUGUCGAAAGGGAAACGCUUGAAGUCAGACGUGCGUAGUGCCUUCGGGUGCUGUUGCAGGCCAGCAUCAGUUUUUCGAGCCGGAUAAAGGUGGGAGGAAGGUAGCAGUCUCGGCUGUGUUAUAGCCUCCCACUGAAUACGGAUUGUGAGACUGAGGAAUGCGAUUCUAGGAUGCUGGUGAAAUGGCUUUAAACGAC